Molecule: transfer RNA, 26 nt
Filed under: Arachnothera longirostra (little spiderhunter)
Lineage: Eukaryota; Metazoa; Chordata; Aves; Passeriformes; Nectariniidae
Also listed under: 1 other name
Description: partial tRNA-Thr
Source: RNAcentral
ACUCUAAUAGUUUAUAAAAACAUUGG